This 347-nucleotide ribosomal RNA is filed under the name uncultured eukaryote. Its description in RNAcentral is "SSU rRNA". It matches the Rfam family "Eukaryotic small subunit ribosomal RNA", at positions 594 to 945 of the family's 1831-position model. The record is from RNAcentral.
AUAGCGUAUAUUAAAGUUGUUGCAGUUAAAAAGCUCGUAGUUGAACUUCAGACUUGGUUGGGCGGUCCGCCUAACGGCGUGUACUGUCUGGCUGGGUCUUACCUCUUGGUGAGCCAGCGUGCCCUUUAUUGGCGUGCGUUGGGGAACCAGGACUUUUACCUUGAGAAAAUUAGAGUGUUCAAAGCAGGCCUUCGCCUGAAUACAUUAGCAUGGAAUAAUAAAAUAGGACGUGCGGUUCUAUUUUGUUGGUUUCUAGAGUCGCCGUAAUGAUUAAUAGGGACAGUUGGGGGCAUUAGUAUUGAGUUGCUAGAGGUGAAAUUCUUGGAUUUACUCAAGACUAACUACUG